AUACGGAGGAUCCGAGCGUUAUCCGGAUUUAUUGGGUUUAAAGGGAGCGUAGGCGGAGGAUCAAGUCAGCUGUGAAAUGUAGACGCUCAACGUCUGCACUGCAGUUGAAACUGGUCCCCUUGAGUGCGUAAGGGGCAGGCGGAAUUCGUCGUGUAGCGGUGAAAUGCUUAGAUAUGACGAAGAACUCCGAUCGCGAAGGCAGCUUGCCGGGCCGCAACUGACGCUGAAGCUCGAAGGUGCGGGUAUCGAACAGGAUUAGAUACCCUGGUAGUCCGCACAGUAAACGAUGGAUACUCGCUGUCGGCGAUAUACGGUCGGUGGCCAAGCGAAAGCGUUAAGUAUCCCACCUGGGGGGUACGCCGGCAACGGUGAAACUCAAAUGAAUUGACGGGG
RNAcentral lists this ribosomal RNA (393 nucleotides) under uncultured bacterium. Its description in RNAcentral is "partial 16S ribosomal RNA". It matches the Rfam family "Bacterial small subunit ribosomal RNA", at positions 523 to 918 of the family's 1533-position model. The record is from RNAcentral.